UACGGAGGGUGCAAGCGUUGUCCGGAAUUACUGGGCGUAAAGGGCGCGUAGGCGGCCAUAUAAGUCGGAUGUGAAAGCUCUGGGCUCAACCCAGGAAUUGCAUCUGAUACUGUAAGGCUUGAGUUCGGUAGAGGAGGGCGGAAUUCCAGGUGUAGCGGUGAAAUGCGUAGAUAUCUGGAGGAACACCCGUGGCGAAGGCGGCUCUCUGGGACGGUACUGACGCUGAGAUGCGAAAGCGUGGGGAGCGAACAGG
RNAcentral lists this ribosomal RNA (253 nucleotides) under uncultured bacterium. RNAcentral's name for it is "partial 16S ribosomal RNA". It matches the Rfam family "Bacterial small subunit ribosomal RNA", at positions 524 to 776 of the family's 1533-position model. The record is from RNAcentral.